AUUGAACGCUGGCGGCAGGCCUAACACAUGCAAGUCGAACGGCAGCACAGAAGAGCUUGCUCUUUGGGUGGCGAGUGGCGGACGGGUGAGUAAUGUCUGGGAAACUGCCCGAUGGAGGGGGAUAACUACUGGAAACGGUAGCUAAUACCGCAUAACGUCGCAAGACCAAAGUGGAGGACCUUCGGGCCUCACACCAUCGGAUGUGCCCAGAUGGGAUUAGCUAGUAGGUGGGGUAAUGGCUCACCUAGGCGACGAUCCCUAGCUGGUCUGAGAGGAUGACCAGCCACACUGGAACUGAGACACGGUCCAGACUCCUACGGGAGGCAGCAGUGGGGAAUAUCGCACAAUGGGCGCAAGCCUGAUGCAGCCAUGCCGCGUGUAUGAAGAAGGCCUUCGGGUUGUAAAGUACUUUCAGCGGGGAGGAAGGCGGUGAGGUUAAUAACCUCGCCGAUUGACGUUACCCGCAGAAGAAGCACCGGCUAACUCCGUGCCAGCCGCCGCCGUAA
This 506-nucleotide ribosomal RNA is filed under the name uncultured bacterium. Its description in RNAcentral is "partial 16S ribosomal RNA". It matches the Rfam family "Bacterial small subunit ribosomal RNA", at positions 30 to 523 of the family's 1533-position model. The record is from RNAcentral.